RNAcentral lists this long non-coding RNA (7392 nucleotides) under Gossypium barbadense (sea-island cotton). RNAcentral describes it as "long non-coding RNA (GBAR_LNC019519)". Lineage: Eukaryota; Viridiplantae; Streptophyta; Magnoliopsida; Malvales; Malvaceae. The record is from RNAcentral.
UUCGGUAAUGCUCCGUAACCCUAUUUCAACGUCGAAUACGGGUUAGGGGUGUUACAUGAUAACCCCUUGGAGUAUAGCUCAUUUUUUAAUGCGUAUAAGAAGCCACCUCGAUCAAUCGAUUGUUGCCAAAAAAUGAAGGAACAAGCACCAUGCUAUUGUGAGUACAUGAAGAUAGAAGAUGCCAAACGUGUUUUUGAUAGAUUUGAGAUUGCAGAAAUGGCUAAAUUGUGUGGAGUUUCAUAUUCUUUCACCUGCUAGAGUCCCGUUUGGUUUCAUUUGACUAUCUCUGGCCAGGAUAACUUGGCAUCUCAAUAAAUGAUAAUUUUAUUUGAAAGCUAUUUUUUUACUCAUUAUUUCGACUAUAAUGUACUUGUGUUCUUUUUUUUUUCCGGAAUGAUACUGGUGGUUUGCUAUCAUUUACCUUUAUUAUCUUGAUUCAUGUUACAUAUGUGCUAAAAGAACUACACAAUGAUCUAGAUUUAGUUUGAAUCGUACUAGAUUGGUUUGAUUGGAAACUGAUCUGGAUACCAACAUAAUUAGAGGGGUUAGAUUGAUUGACCCACGAACCAAUAAAGGCUAGUUGAAACGAUUUUCUCUAUUUCUUUAAAAAUAUUUUUAUAUUUAUUUAAAUUAUUAAAUAAUUUAAUUAAUUAAACGUACACUAGUAGUCACUCAACUUUUAGUAAAUUUCUUUUUUUCUCAUCGAAUUAUGAAAAAUUACAAAAUGAUCAACCAACUAUUCAAUUUUCUAUUUUUUGAUCUCUAGUUAGCUAAUGGUGGCAGCUAGACUUGUUAAUUGGCCGGAUUACUUGCCCAAGUCCGACGGCCCGCUUGAAAAAUGGAAGGUUUUGGACAAAUACACGAUGCCGAAAAAUGGGCUUGGGUAAAAGUUAAGGCCUAUUUUCUAUAUGAGUCGGGAUCUGUGCAAAUAUUUUUCACCCGAGCACAAUCUGACCCGAAUAUAUUAUGUUUUAAAAAUAAUUAUAUUAAUUAUAUAUGUUAAAUAAUAAUUAUAUAUUUAUAUAUAUUGAAUUACUAACCCAAUAAUAACUAAACCCAUUACCCAAAACCUAAAAAAAACUUAGCCAACUAAAUAAUUGGCUUCAGCUAUUCCUAAAGCUCGUCAAUUAGUUAACCAUAGACAUAUUUUAGUUAAUGGCUUACAGUAGAUAUGCCAAGUUAUCAUUGUAAGCCUCGAGGUAUUAUUUCAACGAGGGAUGAACAAAAUUCUAGAACUCUGAUUCAAAAUUAUCUUGAUUCAUCCACCAAUGAGGAAUUACCAAAACAUUUGACCCUUCACACAUUACUAUAUAAAGGAUUAGUCAAUUAAAUAAUAGAUGGAUAAUGGGUUGGUUUGAAAAUAAAUGGAUUGCUUGUCAUAGAAUAUUAUUCUCGUCAGAACUAAAAAUAUAAAAUUUUAAAUUUUUUAUUUAAUACAAUAAAACAUUUAUCAUAUUUAUGGUAGCGUUUUUUAAAGAAUUUUUAAUGUGGUAUGAAACACUCAGUUGAUGAAACUUAUUUAGUGGUAGAUUCAAUAGACUAUUAGGUCAUUAAUUCUGAAGUCAUUAAUAAUAUUUGUGUUUAUUGCUGGGGUUCAAGUAAACGAGAAGCCUUCGUGAUAAGGAUCUCCCGUUGCGAACUGGGGAUGGGAGAAAUGUAGCGGCAAAAGUAGUGGGAGAAGCACAUUUGUAUUUUGAUAAUUUUAGGAAAUUUAUUUUAAAUGAUAUUUUUUAUGUACAUAGUUUUAGGAGAAAUUUAAUUUUUGUUGCAUGUUUAUUUAAAGAAAGUUUUUCUAUGACUUCUAAUAAAAGGAUUGCAAUUCAUAAAAAUCAUGUUCUUAUCCGUAAUGGAUGACUGCAAAAUAAUAUUUAUUUUAUUACACAAAAGAGCCACUCACUGCUUGAAACCAAACUUGUGAAUAAGAAACUUAAAACAUCUCACUUUAAUACUUAAGAUAUUUAAGACUUAGUCGCGUUAAACAAUAAAGAAUGAAUAAACUUUUUAAAGAUGGAACUUUAAGCUCACUUAAAGAGAUACAUCUUCCACCAUGUGAAUCUUGUUGCAAAGGUAAAAUGACCAAGCAAUCUUCUAAUGCAAAAGGUACAAGGGUUGUUCAAUCAUUAAAACUUGUACAUACCGACGUAUGUGGUCCCAUGAACGUUAGUGUGAGAUUUGGUUACAAUUAUUAUGUAAACUUUUUAGAUAUUUAUUCCAGAUACUGGUAUAUGUACCUAAUGCACCACAAGAGUGAAACUUUUAAAAAAUUUCAAGAGUUUAGUGUGAAAGUGUAAAAACAAUUAGGUUUACCCAUUAAGACACUUCCGUUUGACCGACGUGGGGAAUACUUAUUGGAUGAGUUCAUAGGAUACCUCAUAGAGAAUGAGAUAUUAUCCCAAUUAACUGUGUAAGGUACUCCACAAUAGAAUAGCGUGGCACAAAGAUGGAACAAAACCUUGCUUGAUAUGAUUUAUUCAACGUUAAGUUAUUCAAAACUAUUGAUAUCAUUCUGGGGGUAAGCAUUACUAAUGACUUCCUAUAUUCUAAAUUACAUACAAACUAAGGUAGCACCUUAGGAUCCAUAUGAAAUUUGGCACGACAUGAAGCCAGGUCUAAAUCAUUUUAGGAAUUGGGGAUGCCCAACCUACGUGUCGGCUAAAGAUGCAAAAAAGUUGGAAGCACAAAUAGAAUUGUGCAUGUUUGUUGGAUGUCCAAAAUGGAGUAAGGGUGGAUAAUUUUAUAACCCAAAAUACCUAACGGUUAAGGUUUCGACUUAUGCUAAUUUUCUUGAGAAAAUCUACAUUAACAAUUUUAAACUUCGAAGUAGAUUGUUACUUCAGAAAAUUUCAAGAAAAUUAGCUUAUUUUUCGAUGACUAGUAAGUCAUUUUCUGUGAAACAAACUCACUUGAAGGAAAAUGAAUAAGAGGAUAAUAAAUUAUAAACAGUGAUCUAAAAAAUUUUACUCAUACCAUCAUUUUAAUUGAUUUUAUUAGUAAUUUUCAUUUUCUAUUUUACUUUUUUUAGUGACUCUUUAAAUAAUUAAGACCAUUAAAAAUAAACCAUAACAACUAAAAUUUAAAUUUUAAUAUUAUAGAAAAACCAUAUAUUUUAAUUUCAAUUUUAAAUCUUCAAAAAUGGUAAACCUAACAACAUCCUUUUACCAAAUUACACAUUACACGUAUUGUCAAAACUCUCGGCAACUAAUAAUCCAACGGCUAUACAUUGGCCAAAUUUCAUGGGAAAAAAAAACAUGUCAACACAAAAUUACCCUUAGUAGUGCCUAGCUAGCAAACUUUUUAUUUAAAAAAACCAUGAAGAGGUUUUCCCUUAUUUGUUUUGUGCGUGGUGAACUCUAGUAGGUGGUGUUAUUUUCAGGUGCAGAGACAGCGCCAGUGCCAAAUGUGAUAACCCCUUGGAGUAUAGCUCAUGCUUGAACGCGUAUAAGAAAGCCACCUCCAUCAGCUGGUGUUGCCAGAAAAUGAAGGAACCAGCACCAUGCUAUGUGAGUACAUGAAGAUAGAAGAUGUCAAACGUGUUUUUGACAGAGUUGAGAUUGCGAAAAUGGCUAAAUUGUGUGGAGUUUCAUAUUCUUCCACCUGCUAGAAUCCCAUUUGGUUUCAUUUGACUAUCUCUGGCUAGGAUAACCUGGCAUCUCAAUAAAUAAAAUUUUAUUUGAAAACUAUUUUUUACUCAUAAUUUCGACUAUAAUGUACUUGUGUCCUUUUUUUUGGAAUGAUACUGGUCAUUUGCUAUUAUUUACCUUUAUUGUCUUGAUUCAUGUUACAUAUGUGCUAAAAGAACUACACAAUGAUCUAGAUUUUGUUUGAACCGUAUUGGAUUGGUUGGAUUUGGAAAUUGAUCUGGAUACCAAUAUAAUUUGAAGGGUUAGAUUGGUUGACCCACGAACCAAUGGAGACUAGUUGAAACGGUUUUCUUUAUUUCUUAAAAAAUAUUUUUAUAUUUAUUUAAAUUAUUAAAUAAUUUAUUUAAUCAAACUAGACGAACAAGUCGAAAUGAAAAAUAUUUAUUUGACUGAUUCGAUCAUCGGUCCAGUUCUGAAAACAUUGUUCUGAAAAUAUGUUAUUCGAAUAUUUAUUUGGGUAAAGUACACUAGUAGUCACUCAACUUUUAGUAAAUUUCUUUUUUUUCUCAUCGAAUUAUGAAAAAUUACAAAAUGAUCACCCAACUAUUCAAUUUUUUUUCUUUUUUGAUCUCAGUUAGCUAAUGGUGGUAGUUAGACUUGUUAAUUGGCUAGGUUACCUACUCAAGUCCGACGGCCUGCUUGAAAAAUGAAAGGGUUUAGACAAAUACAUGAUGCCGAAAAAUGGGCUUGGGUAAAAUUUAAGGCCUAUGUUCUAUAUGGGUCGAGAUUUGUGCAAAUUAUUUUGACUUGAUCCUAGUCCGACCCGAAUAUAUUAUGUUAUAAAAAAUAAUUAUAUUAAUUAUAUAUGUUAAAUAAUUAUUAUAUUUUUUAUAUUUAUAUUAAAUUAUUAACCCAAUAACAAUUAAACUCAUUACCCAAGCCCUAAAAAAAACCUUACCCAACUAAAUAAUUGGCUUCGACUAUUCCUAAAGCCUGUCAAGUAGUUAACCAUAGACAUAUUUUAGUUAAUGGUGUACAGUAGUUAUACCAAGUCAUCGUUGCAAGCUCCGAGAUAUUAUUUUAGCGACGGAUGAACAAAAUUCUAGAACUCUGAUUCAAAAUUACUUUGAUUCAUCCACCAAUGAGGAAUUACCAAAACAUUUGACCCUUCACACAUUACUAUAUAAAGGAUUGGUCAAUCAAAUAAUAGAUAGGAAAUGGGUUGGUUUGAAAAUAAAUGGAUUGAUUGUCGUAGAAUAUUAUUCUCAUCGGAACUCAAAAUAUAAAAUUUUAUUUAAUACAAUAAAACAUUUAUUAUAUUUAUUGUAGUGUUUUUUAAUGAAUUUUUAAUGUGGUAUGAAACUCUUAGUUGAUGUAACUUGUUUAGUUCUAGAUUCAAUAUACUAUUAGGUCAUUAAUCCUGAAGCCAUUAAUCAUAUUUCUUUUUAUUACAGGGGUUCAAGUAGAACAGAAGCCUUCGUGAUAAGGAUUUCUCGUUGCGAACUAGAGAUGAGAGAAAUGUAACGGCAAAAGUAGUGGGAGAAAUACAUUUGUAUUUUGAUAAUUUUAGAAAAAAUAUUUUAAAUGACAUUUUUAUGUACCUAGUUUUCCUGUGACUUCUAAUAAAGGAACUUCAAUUCAUAAAAAUCAUGUUCUUAUCCGUAAUGGAUGGAUGCAAAAUAAUAUUUAUUUUAUUAAACAAAAGAGCUACUCACUGCUUGAAACCGAGCUUGUGAAUAAGAAACUUAAAACUUCUCACUCUAAUACUUAUGAUAUUUAAGACUUAGUCGUGUUAAACAAGAAAGAAUGAAUAAACUUUUUAAAGAUGAGACUUUGAGCUCACUUAAAGAGGCAUAUCUUCUACAAUGUGAAUCUCGCUUGAAAAGUAAAAUGAUCAAGAAAUCUUCCAAUGCAAAAGGUACAAGGGUUAUUCAAUUAUUAAAACUUAUGCAUACUGACGUAUGUGAUCCCCUGAAUGUUAGUUUGAGAUUGAUUACAAUUAUUAUGUAAACUUUUUAGAUAUGUAUUCCAGAUAUUUUUAUGUGUAUCUAAUGCACCACAAGAGUGAAACUUUUAAAAAUUUUCAAGAGUUUAAUGUGAAAGUGGAUAAACAAUUAGGUUUACCCAUUAAGACACUUCGGUUUGACCGACGUGAGGAAUACUUAUUGGACGAGUUCAUAGGAUACCACAUAGAGAAUAAGAUACUAUCUCAAUUAACUAUGUGGGGUAAUCCACAACAAAAUAGCGUGGCAGAGAGAUGGAACAAAACCUUGCUUGAUAUGGUUUAUUCAAUGUUAAGUUAUUCACAACUGUCGAUAUCAUUCUGGGUUUAAGCAUUACUAACGACUUGCUACAUUCUAAAUUACAUAAAAACUAAGGCAACACCUCAAGAUCCAUUCGAAAUGUGGCACAGCAUGAAGCCAGGCUGAAAUCAUUUUUGGAAUUGGGGAUGCCCAACCUACAUGUCGGCUAAAGAUGCAAAAAAGUUGAAAGUACAGAUAGAAUUGUGCAUGUUUGUUGGCUAUCCAAAACGGAGCAACGGUGAAUAAUAUUAUAACCCAAAAGACCAAACGGUUAAGGUUUCAACUUAUGCUACUUUCCUUGAGGAAAUAUACAUUAACAAUUUUAAACUUCGAAGUAGAUUGUUACUUCAAAAAAUUUCAGGAAAAUGAACUUAUUUUUUGAUGACUUGUAAGUCAUUUUCCGUAAAACAAACGCAUCUGAAGGAAAAUGAAGAAGAGGAUAAUAAUUUUAUAAAUAGUGAUCUAAAAAAUUUUACUCAUACCAUAAUUUUGAUUUAAUUUAUUAGUGAUUUUCAUUUUCUAUUUUACUUUUUUUAGUGACUCUUUAAAUAAUUGAGACCAUUAAAAAUAAACCAUAACAACUAAAAUUAAAAAUUUAAUAUUCUAAAAAAAACCAUAUAUUUUAAUUUCAAUUUUAAAUUUAAAUUGUUCAAAGAUUAAGCUAUUUUCUCGGCUUUGUAGGCACAUUUCAAAAAUUUUUUACCACAAUUUAUCUCUCUCAAAAAUAGUAAACCUAACAACAUCCUUUUACCAAAUUUACACAUUUACACGUAUUGUCCAAAACUCUCGGCAAUUAAUAAUCCAACUGCUAUAAAUUGUGCCAAAUUUCAAUGGAAAAAACACACAACACAAAUUACCAUUAUUAGUCUCCCAACUAGCAAAAUUUUUAUUUAAAGAAACAUGAAGAGGUUUUCCCUUAUUGUUUUGUGCGUGGUGACUCUAGUAGUGGUGUUAUUUUCGGGUGCAGAGGCAGCGCCAGCGCCGAAAUGUGAUAACCCCUUGGAGUAUAGCUCAUGCUUGAACGCGUAUAAGAAGCCACCUCCAUCAUCUGGUUGUUGCCAAAAAAUGAAGGAACAGGCGCCAUGCUAUUGUGAGUACAUGAAGAUAGAAGAUGUCAAACGUGUUUUUGACAGAGUUGAGAUUGCAAAAAUGGCUAAAUUGUGUGGAGUUUCAUAUUCUUCCACCUGCUAGAAUCCCGUUUGGUUUCAAUUGACUAUCGCUGGCUGGGAUAACCUGGCAUCUCAAUAAACGAAAUUUUAUUUGAAAACUAUUUUUUGUACUCAUAAUUUCGACUAUAAUGCACUUGUGUUCUUUUUUUUUUUUGGAAUGAUACUGGUCAUUUGCUAUUAUUUACCUUUAUUGUCUUGAUUCAAGUUACAUAUGUGCUAAAAGAACUACACAAUGAUCUAGAUUUUGUUUGAACCGUACUGGAUUGGUUGGAUUGAAAACUGAUCUAGAUACCGAUAUAAUUAGAGAGGUUAGAUUAGUUGACCCACGAACCAAUGGAG